This 191-nucleotide ribosomal RNA is filed under the name uncultured Saprospirales bacterium. RNAcentral's name for it is "partial 16S ribosomal RNA". It matches the Rfam family "Bacterial small subunit ribosomal RNA", at positions 335 to 523 of the family's 1533-position model. The record is from RNAcentral. Lineage: Bacteria; Pseudomonadati; Bacteroidota; Saprospiria; Saprospirales.
ACUCCUACGGGAGGCAGCAGUAAGGAAUAUUGGACAAUGGGCGAAAGCCUGAUCCAGCCAUCCCGCGUGCAGGAAGAAUGCCCUAUGGGUUGUAAACUGCUUUUACAAGGGAAGAAACCCUGGGAUUUAUCCCGGGCUGACGGUACCUUGCGAAUAAGCACCGGCUAACUCCGUGCCAGCAGCCGCGGUAA